AACCUAGCACACCUGCGGUGUGUACCUGCGGAGGGAUCAUUACCUAGAGUUGUAGGCUUUGCCUGCUAUCUCUUACCCAUGUCUUUUGAGUACCUUACGUUUCCUCGGUGGGCUCGCCCACCGAUUGGACAAAUUUAAACCCUUUGCAGUUGAAAUCAGCGUCUGAAAAAACUUAAUAGUUACAACUUUCAGCAAUGGAUCU
RNAcentral lists this unclassified non-coding RNA (202 nucleotides) under soil metagenome. Its description in RNAcentral is "partial contains 5.8S ribosomal RNA, internal transcribed spacer 2, and large subunit ribosomal RNA". The record is from RNAcentral.